This 87-nucleotide transfer RNA is filed under the name Erysipelotrichaceae bacterium. RNAcentral's name for it is "tRNA-Leu". It matches the Rfam family "tRNA". Rfam says of the family: Transfer RNA (tRNA) molecules are approximately 80 nucleotides in length. The record is from RNAcentral. Lineage: Bacteria; Bacillati; Bacillota; Erysipelotrichia; Erysipelotrichales; Erysipelotrichaceae.
GCCCGGAUGGCGGAAUAGGUAGACGCACAAGACUUAAAAUCUUGCGAUCGCGAGGUCGUGCCAGUUCGAUUCUGGUUCCAGGCACCA